Molecule: ribosomal RNA, 485 nt
Filed under: uncultured Acinetobacter sp.
Lineage: Bacteria; Pseudomonadati; Pseudomonadota; Gammaproteobacteria; Moraxellales; Moraxellaceae
Description: bacterial SSU rRNA
Rfam family: Bacterial small subunit ribosomal RNA
Source: RNAcentral
UUGAACGCUGGCGGCAGGCUUAACACAUGCAAGUCGAGCGGAGAGAGGUAGCUUGCUACUGAUCUUAGCGGCGGACGGGUGAGUAAUGCUUAGGAAUCUGCCUAUUAGUGGGGGACAACAUUUCGAAAGGAAUGCUAAUACCGCAUACGUCCUACGGGAGAAAGCAGGGGAUCUUCGGACCUUGCGCUAAUAGAUGAGCCUAAGUCGGAUUAGCUAGUUGGUGGGGUAAAGGCCUACCAAGGCGACGAUCUGUAGCGGGUCUGAGAGGAUGAUCCGCCACACUGGGACUGAGACACGGCCCAGACUCCUACGGGAGGCAGCAGUGGGGAAUAUUGGACAAUGGGCGCAAGCCUGAUCCAGCCAUGCCGCGUGUGUGAAGAAGGCCUUAUGGUUGUAAAGCACUUUAAGCGAGGAGGAGGCUACUUUAGUUAAUACCUAGAGAUAGUGGACGUUACUCGCAGAAUAAGCACCGGCUAACUCUGUGC